RNAcentral lists this ribosomal RNA (501 nucleotides) under uncultured bacterium. RNAcentral describes it as "partial 16S ribosomal RNA". It matches the Rfam family "Bacterial small subunit ribosomal RNA", at positions 29 to 523 of the family's 1533-position model. The record is from RNAcentral.
AUUGAACGCUGGCGGCAUGCCUUACACAUGCAAGUCGAACGGCAGCACGGGUGCUUGCACCUGGUGGCGAGUGGCGAACGGGUGAGUAAUACAUCGGAACGUACCUUAUCGUGGGGGAUAACGCAGCGAAAGCUGUGCUAAUACCGCAUACGCCCUGAGGGGGAAAGCAGGGGAUCGCAAGACCUCGCGCGAUUAGAGCGGCCGAUGCCUGAUUAGCUAGUUGGAGGGGUAAAAGCCCACCAAGGCGACGAUCAGUAGCUGGUCUGAGAGGACGAUCAGCCACACUGGGACUGAGACACGGCCCAGACUCCUACGGGAGGCAGCAGUGGGGAAUUUUGGACAAUGGGGGCAACCCUGAUCCAGCAAUGCCGCGUGAGUGAAGAAGGCCUUCGGGUUGUAAAGCUCUUUUGUCAGGGAAGAAACACCGGCUCUAACACAGUCCGGGAAUGACGGUACCUGAAGAAUAAGCACCGGCUAACUACGUGCCAGCCGCCGCAGUAA